CACCUGCCACGGUGCAGUCCAGUUUUCUUGACACUUUGGUGGUUCGUCGUCAUUUGGCUGAAUAGAAGAGUUGCUGUCUCAACCUCCAAAUAUUGCACGACUAACUACUGGCGGAAAAAUUGUAGUCGAAGAAGUUGAGAUUUCAUGUUGUUGGAUACUGACUGUUGCAGAUCCUGUGACCUCGUUAGUUCAAUUGCUUGCUUCUCUACAAUCAAUAGUUGUAAAUAUUUAUAUUCAUAUGCACCUCUAACAAAGAAUAUGGUCAAUAAGAGUAUCUAUUUCUUGAUGGCUGAACGAUUAAACAGAUCGAACUUUGCUUGUGAAUGGGAGCAGUCAUAAUCCCGGAUGGAGAAAUCAGAAGACAACUCAGGAGUACCUUCCAUCCGAGUGUUCCCAAUGUCAUCUUUCGUAUUAGUCAAGGCAGGAAGCAAAUCCAUCCCAGCGGCAUGUUCUAGUUAUUCACAGUGCACGAACUUGGUCAAGAAACUAACGGUGCUUUGCAGGAAACGUAGCAAUUUCAUGGAUGUAGGUAAUCAAUUAUAGGCAAAUUGGAUGGUGUAAAUGUCGCAUGCAUUG
Corticium candelabrum is the source of this 576-nucleotide long non-coding RNA. RefSeq lists it as uncharacterized. Lineage: Eukaryota; Metazoa; Porifera; Homoscleromorpha; Homosclerophorida; Plakinidae. The transcript is spliced from 3 exons. The record is from RefSeq and is a predicted model, not a curated record.